UACGUAGGGUGCAAGCGUUGUCCGGAUUUAUUGGGCGUAAAGAGCUCGUAGGCGGUUUGUCGCGUCUGCUGUGAGAGCCCGAGGCUCAACCUCGGGUCUGCAGUGGGUACGGGCAGACUAGAGUGCGGUAGGGGAGAUUGGAAUUCCUGGUGUAGCGGUGGAAUGCGCAGAUAUCAGGAGGAACACCGAUGGCGAAGGCAGAUCUCUGGGCCGUUACUGACGCUGAGGAGCGAAAGCAUGGGGAGCGAACAGG
RNAcentral lists this ribosomal RNA (253 nucleotides) under uncultured bacterium. RNAcentral's name for it is "partial 16S ribosomal RNA". It matches the Rfam family "Bacterial small subunit ribosomal RNA", at positions 524 to 776 of the family's 1533-position model. The record is from RNAcentral.